Molecule: unclassified non-coding RNA, 321 nt
Filed under: uncultured Sphingobacteriales bacterium
Lineage: Bacteria; Pseudomonadati; Bacteroidota; Sphingobacteriia; Sphingobacteriales
Description: contains 16S-23S intergenic spacer region
Rfam family: Bacterial small subunit ribosomal RNA
Source: RNAcentral
GGGAAGUACGACCGCAAGGUUGAAACUCAAAGGAAUUGACGGGGGCCCGCACAAGCGGAGGAGCAUGUGGUUUAAUUCGAUGAUACGCGAGGAACCUUACCCGGGCUUGAAAGUUAUGGAAUGAUGUGGAAACAUGUCAGUCAGCAAUGACCAGAAACUAGGUGCUGCAUGGCUGUCGUCAGCUCGUGCCGUGAGGUGUUAGGUUAAGUCCUGCAACGAGCGCAACCCCUAUCAUUAGAUGCCAUCAGGUAAUGCUGGGGACUCUAAUGAGACUGCCCGCGCAAGCGGUGAGGAAGGUGGGGAUGACGUUACGGUCUUACU